RNA transcript from Oncorhynchus tshawytscha (Chinook salmon), 1040 nucleotides. It is a transcript of the gene named C-type lectin domain family 12 member B-like, with no coding region annotated. NCBI's taxonomy places the organism in Eukaryota, Metazoa, Chordata, Actinopteri, Salmoniformes, Salmonidae. The annotation marks the transcript as partial. The transcript has 5 exons. The record is from RefSeq and is a predicted model, not a curated record.
CAACAACCUGACUAAAGAGAGAGACCAGUUACAGACCAGAUACAACAACCUGACUGAAGAGAGAGACCAGUUACAGACCAGAUACAACAACCUGACUAAAGAGAAAGGCCAUAUUCAGGCAAAGCUUUUUGUGAUAGCAUUUUCAAAAGGGAUGGAGAAACUUUGACUACAGUUGUACUUCCUCUCUACUAAGAAGAAAACCUGGGAGUAGAGAGAAGCAGUCCUGGUGAUCAUAAACAGCAGAGAGGAACAGCUGACCAUUUCUCUUCAACCUCCACCUGAGAGUCUGGAUUGGUCUGACUGACUCUGUUACUGAGGAGACCUGGAAGUAGGUGGAUGGCACAACAAUGACCACAGGUUAUUAUGUUAAUGGUUGUGUUGGUUCCACUUAUCUGGGCUCCGUUAUUUACUUAACAGAUAAGGAAUACUUCAAAUGUGAGAAACAACCUGACUAAAGAAAGAGACCAGCUACAGUCCAGUUACAACAACCUGACUAAAGAGAGAGACCAGCUACAGUCCAGUUACAACACACUGACUAAAGAGAGAGACCAGCUACAGGCCAGUUACAACAACCUGAUUAAAGAGAGAGACCAGCUACAGACUGAGAGAGAUUUUCUUAAUGGGAGGCUUACCAAUCUCAAACAAAACUGUCCUGCUGGCUGGCAGAAGUUUGAAUCCAGUUGGUACUUCCUGUCUACUGAGACUAAAACCUGGAAGGAGAGCAGAGAGGACUGUCUGGAGAGAGGAGCAGACCUGGUUAUCAUAAACAGUGAUAUGGAACAGGUGUGUGUGUGUGUGUGUGUACUGGUAUUAACCAUGAUAUCUGACUGUUAACCCUGUAGGUACUGGUAUUAGCCAUGAUAUCUGACUGUUGUUACCCCUGUGGUAUUCCAAACAGCCUGAUAAUACAGGUCCUAAUGGGGACUGUUACGUUCCCCAGAUUAUGUGUUGUAGAUUGUGUAUUUGCAUGUGUUUAUUUCAGGAAAUGGCUUCCUGAAAUCCCUCAAGCAGCUGAUUGGUCGACUCCAGGGCUAAUUGGA